Molecule: long non-coding RNA, 3014 nt
Filed under: Zea mays
Lineage: Eukaryota; Viridiplantae; Streptophyta; Magnoliopsida; Poales; Poaceae
Description: long non-coding RNA (ZMAY_LNC002288)
Source: RNAcentral
CUAGAUUCCAAGAUUAUCAGCUCUAUGUCACACCCGGUUUUAGAAGGUAAACCGAAUGCGAACCAUGUACGUGUCAGGAUCAGAACUCACGUAUAUAGCGAUUACAUAAAUGACUCAUCAUAGCACAAUGCUUCGAAUAUUAAUAAAGACUAAGUAAUAAUACUACAGACUAUAGUCAUUUACAUGAUAUAAAUCAAAGUGCACAUAAUAGAAACGUAACCAACGUAAAUAAACCCGCCACAUACAGCUGACUGGGGGAGGUCGUCAAACUCAUUGAAGUCCUGGAACUCCUAGAAGUCCGCCUUAUCACCUUCUUCUUCUUCUUUACCUGAGCAUACAUUGCACCAAAGGCAACAUGGUGUUUUGUGAAAGCAAGGGUGAGUACACAUCAACGUACUCUGCAAAUGUCCCGUUUGGCUGAGGUGGACUAGCUUUAUGUGUGUUUAGGAUUAAAGCAGAUGCUUUUAGUUUGUUAGGUAUUUAUUAUUAGUACAAGCCAAGUUUUAGCAAUAACCAACCCGUGAAUCAUUUCCUCACCAAGGAACAUCAUUAUCAUCAUCGAACAAAAAACCAUUAAUAGAACCAUUGUAUCUCAGAUCAUCUGCAUCUCUAAUCAAAGGAGCUCCCAAGGCCACUCAUAACCGUCAGCACUACUGAUAUAUCAGUUUCGAUCCUUUGCAGAGGUCGCGCACUUUACCCAUGAGCCGUGAUUCCCAUUCUGUCCAAGGAGCACUUAUCCUCAUUGACCACUACCUAGGUGAUAUGGUAGGGUAUCACUACGUAGCCUUUACAAAGAUUCCCCGUGUGUGUAGUCGUCCGUUAGUUUUUGCCAGUCGUACAUACACAGUACUCCUCCCUAAGGUGGGUAACUAACAAAACUGAAACGAAUGAACCUCGGCACCAACCCUUAGCAAAGCAAGCACUAUACCCCGGCCCCCAUUGAUAGCACAACGGUGAAGCCAACUACACCCCUAAGUUCCUCCAAUUAAUCAGCUAAGGGCGUCCCAUUCUACCCUCAUGGUUGUACUGUUUUCCCAGAUGGUCAUCCAGCGAACAAGUCCUUACAGAGAGGUACUUGGGAAACAGCCUGAGUCCCCUAAAAUCACACAAGUUCAUCAUCAUAAUCAAGAUAUCAUCAUGUAUCAUAGAUAUUCUUAUCAUGUUCAUUGAUUAAAGUAGAGCGCUAGCAUAAAGCUAACCACAAUAACCCAAAAAUUAAUCAAGGAUGAGGUAAAUAGAAAGCUAGUCAAUCCUUAUGUUUUAAUUGUAUAAUGCGGGGAAAUGAAUGUGAAUAGGAUAUAAGUAGGUCAGAGGACACUUGCCUUCACCAAACAGAAGCUUAGGGUCUUCAACAUUAUGGAACUCGAGGAGCUUGUUCGCUUGGUCGUGAAACUUGACUGUCGAUUCCUUAAAGCUUAGGAAUAGAUCGCAAUCUAUUCGCGACGCGCAACGAAUACAAACUGGCACAAGAAACACAUAUACUUGCAUAAGAACAUUACACCAUACCAGAUAAAAUAUUAUAAAAACGAGCAAUAUAAAAUAGAGAGCGCUUCUACGGUUACACAAGGAAAAGGAACGAACCAGUCGAAGCUAUGGUCGAGAAGUUAUCACGUUUACACUAAACCAGUAUUAAUCAGAAUAUUUAAUUUGACAUAAUUAUAUUAAUUGAACUUUAUCAAAUGUACAUUAAAACUACUACUUAGCUUUGGCUAAAUUACUGUUUUUUUAUAGUGGACGAUUAAAUAAAUAGUUAAUUUACUGACAUGAGUGGUUAUGAGCGAACGAUUUAAUAUUACGCACAGACAACGCGCGAUACACAAAAACAGCGUGCGCGACAGACACACGUGAACGACGUGAACAACACGGCAUCACGUGCACCAGACGCGCGACAAGAACGUGCGAACAAACAACAACGACGCGCAAAUAGCGCGCGAGAUAGCGUGAAACAGUGUGCGAGACAUGCGUGAUCGAUGUGUGCUGCAGUACGUGAAUAAUGUGCGAACCAGAUGCGCGACAAAGCGCGCGACACACAAAAACGAUGCGCGCGACGUGCGGAAUUGGCAUGCGCGACACCCACAAAUGACGUGACCUACGGGAAAUCAAUUUUCGUGUUUAUGCUAAACAAGUAGUAAUUCGAAAUGUCCGAAUCAGCAUAAUCAUGAAACAAUUAUUUACAGAUAUGAAAUAAAACUAUAGGUUAGUUUUAAGUGGAACAUUAUUCUAAUACCCAACUGAUGAACAAAUGAUUAAUUAAAUAAAUCAAAAUUCACGAAUUAUUAUGACGUGGCGUAAUUCUAUUGGUUUCGGAUUGACCACAUAGAGGGUCGCAUGGAUCUUGGUCGCAGAAGAUCCCACGUAGGAUCUCGCGUGGAUGGGGAUUCUCUCUUUCGUCUUCCCUGGAAACACAACCGCACUCCGCACGCAUCAAAAUCCACACAGGGGGAGGCUUCGCCUGGCCAUCGGGAUGAGGCUGGCCGCCGCGCCACCGGGCCACGUGCGCCUGCAGGGGCCCGAGGGGGGAGGGGGCGUGCAACCGCGAGGGGGCGUGCAACCGCGAGGGGCCGUGCAGUCUGUCGCGCCGGGCGAGCCAGGCUUGGCCGCACGCGCAGGGAAGGACGGGCUGGGCGCUGGCUGAUCCGAUGGUUGGCCUCACAGGCCUGCAAUGGUGCACAAGGCCGCCAUGGCACGAGCUCGUCGGGGAUCAGGUGCCGAGUGGCCGCCGCGCGCAAGGGAGAAGAGGUGGGGGCCACGACCAGGGGCCCUGCGGCGUAGCACGCCAAGGGGAGAGGACGCCGAGGGAAAGGAGGUAUAAGGAGAGACUCACCUGCGUAUGCGAUGACCAAUAACCGCCUCUCCGUGAUUUGGAUCUGGGGACGAAGUGCAUAUGUGAGCAGAUGGGAGAGAUCUGUAAAUCCCAAAUUUGGAUGGAAUAAUUUUUUUAUACAAAAAGCUUUGGAAAUUAUGGAACCCUACGUGAUUAAUUGUUCUCUUCUCUUUUGCAUAUGUAAAUAAAG